UCUGGGGUGGCUCAAUUGGCAAAGCAAGCGGCUGUUAAGCGCGAGGUUGUGGGUUCGAUUCCCACCCCUGGAG
Molecule: transfer RNA, 73 nt
Filed under: Dendronalium phyllosphericum CENA369
Lineage: Bacteria; Bacillati; Cyanobacteriota; Cyanophyceae; Nostocales; Nostocaceae
Description: tRNA-Asn
Rfam family: tRNA
About the family: Transfer RNA (tRNA) molecules are approximately 80 nucleotides in length. Their secondary structure includes four short double-helical elements and three loops (D, anti-codon, and T loops).
Source: RNAcentral